UUCAAACUCAGCAUGCAAAGGUGACAGACUUCUACGAAGAUUCAUUGCCCCCAUCAUGACAUCAGCCGAGCUACUCUUUCUGCAAAACCACCCUUGUCCCGUAAACAUGUCUCCCUCUUACCAGGCUCCGUCAAUAUAACAAACUCUAGAACCUUCCAGGGCUAUAGCCGCAGAUUGUUGUAAACUCCCACUAUAUGAAUUCU
This 203-nucleotide long non-coding RNA is filed under the name Brassica napus (rape). Its description in RNAcentral is "long non-coding RNA (BNAP_LNC017637)". The record is from RNAcentral. Lineage: Eukaryota; Viridiplantae; Streptophyta; Magnoliopsida; Brassicales; Brassicaceae.